RNAcentral lists this ribosomal RNA (301 nucleotides) under uncultured bacterium. Its description in RNAcentral is "partial 16S ribosomal RNA". It matches the Rfam family "Bacterial small subunit ribosomal RNA", at positions 509 to 807 of the family's 1533-position model. The record is from RNAcentral.
CAGCAGCCGCGGUAAUACAGAGGGUUCGAGCGUUAAUCGGAUUUACUGGGCGUAAAGCGCGCGUAGGUGGUUCGCCAAGUUGGAUGUGAAAUCCCCGGGCUCAACCUGGGAACUGCAUCCAAAACUGGCGAGCUAGAGUAUGGUAGAGGGUGGUGGAAUUUCCUGUGUAGCGGUGAAAUGCGUAGAUAUAGGAAGGAACAUCAGUGGCGAAGGCGACCACCUGGACUGAUACUGACACUGAGGUGCGAAAGCGUGGGGAGCAAACAGGAUUAGAUACCCCGGUAGUCCCUGUCUCUUAUAC